This 540-nucleotide ribosomal RNA is filed under the name Conqueria laevis. RNAcentral describes it as "bacterial SSU rRNA". It matches the Rfam family "Eukaryotic small subunit ribosomal RNA", at positions 1220 to 1547 of the family's 1831-position model. The record is from RNAcentral. Lineage: Eukaryota; Foraminifera; Astrorhizida; Saccamminidae.
GGGUCCGGACACACUGAGGAUUGACAGGCGCUUGUAGUUAUGAGAUUAUUAAUUUAUUAAUAAUUAAAUUUCUGCUAUAAAUAUGCUAGUCCUUUCAUGAUUGUGUGAUAGGUGGUGCAUGGCCGUUCUUAGUUCGUGGAGUGAUCUGUCUGCUUAAUUGCGUUUCACUGUGGACAUUGUUAUAAUAGUGUGUGCACGCAUAACUUCGAUUAUGUUGUUGCCUACUGUUCCAAAUGUCCUGAAGGCAACGAACGUGACCGCAACCUCUUGUUGCCUCUUCCAAAUACUUAUUUUAUUAUCUUUUUUGAUAAUUGAGAUCGGUUUAUAGAGGCUAACUAGAGGGACCGCUGACAACUUUUAAAACAGAGGAAGGUUGCGGCAAUAACAGGUCUGUGAUGCCCUUAGAUGUUCCGGGCUGCACACGUGCUACAAUGAUUAUUGCACUGAGCAUCUAAUUUUAUUAAAAGUUCGUUUGGUUUAAUUUGAUCUUAACAGAUUAAAUAAAACUAACGACAUUUCCUACUUCGAAAGUAAGUAGGU